Molecule: transfer RNA, 77 nt
Filed under: Syntrophomonadaceae bacterium
Lineage: Bacteria; Bacillati; Bacillota; Clostridia; Eubacteriales; Syntrophomonadaceae
Description: tRNA-Asp
Rfam family: tRNA
About the family: Transfer RNA (tRNA) molecules are approximately 80 nucleotides in length. Their secondary structure includes four short double-helical elements and three loops (D, anti-codon, and T loops).
Source: RNAcentral
GGAGCCGUGGUGGAGUGGUUUACCAUGCCGGCCUGUCACGCCGGAGGUCGUGGGUUCAAAUCCCAUCGGCUUCGCCA